This 504-nucleotide ribosomal RNA is filed under the name uncultured bacterium. RNAcentral describes it as "partial 16S ribosomal RNA". It matches the Rfam family "Bacterial small subunit ribosomal RNA", at positions 30 to 523 of the family's 1533-position model. The record is from RNAcentral.
AUUGAACGCUGGCGGCAUGCCUUACACAUGCAAGUCGAACGGCAGCAUGGAGAGCUUGCUCUCUGAUGGCGAGUGGCGAACGGGUGUGUAAAGCAUCGGAACGUACCGUGUAGUGGGGGAUAACGUAGCGAAAGUUACGCUAAUACCGCAUACGCACUGAGGUGGAAAGCAGGGGAUCGUAAGACCUUGCGCUAUACGAGCGGCCGAUGUCAGAUUAGCUAGUUGGUAGGGUAAGGGCCUACCAAGGCGACGAUCUGUAGCGGGUCUGAGAGGAUGAUGCGCCACACUGGGACUGAGACACGGCCCAGACUCCUACGGGAGGCAGCAGUGGGGAAUUUUGGACAAUGGGGGCAACCCUGAUCCAGCCAUGCCGCGUGAGUGAAGAAGGCCUUCGGGUUGUAAAGCUCUUUCGGCCGGGAAGAAAUCGCACAGGCUAAUACCCUGUGUGGAUGACGGUACCGGCAUAAGAAGCACCGGCUAACUACGUGCCAGCCGCCGCCGUAA